This 305-nucleotide ribosomal RNA is filed under the name uncultured bacterium. Its description in RNAcentral is "bacterial SSU rRNA". It matches the Rfam family "Bacterial small subunit ribosomal RNA", at positions 335 to 658 of the family's 1533-position model. The record is from RNAcentral.
ACCCUACGGGGGGCAGCAGUGGGGAAUAUUGCACAAUGGGGGGAACCCUGAUGCAGCGACGCCGCGUGAGUGAAGAAGUAUUUCGGUAUGUAAAGCUCUAUCAGCAGGGAAGAAGAUGACGGUACCUGACUAAGAAGCCCCGGCUAACUACGAGCCAGCAGCCGCGGUAAUACGUAGGGGGCAAGCGUUAUCCGGAUUUACUGGGUGUAAAGGGAGCGCGGGCGGCGCGGGAAGUCUGAUUUGAAAGCCCGGGGCUCAACCCCGGACCUGCAUUGGAAACUGUAGUGCUGGAGUGUCGGAGGGGG